RNAcentral lists this ribosomal RNA (520 nucleotides) under uncultured fungus. RNAcentral describes it as "SSU rRNA". It matches the Rfam family "Eukaryotic small subunit ribosomal RNA", at positions 20 to 542 of the family's 1831-position model. The record is from RNAcentral. Lineage: Eukaryota; Fungi.
GUAGUCAUAUGCUUGUCUCAAAGAUUAAGCCAUGCAUGUCUAAGUAUAAGCAACUUGUACUGUGAAACUGCGAAUGGCUCAUUAAAUCAGUUAUCGUUUAUUUGAUAGUACCUUACUACAUGGAUACCUGUGGUAAUUCUAGAGCUAAUACAUGCUAAAAACCCCGACUUCAGGAAGGGGUGUAUUUAUUAGAUAAAAAACCAACGCCCUCCGGGGCCCCUUGGUGAAUCAUAAUAACUUAACGAAUCGCAUGGCCUUGCGCCGGCGAUGGUUCAUUCAAAUUUCUGCCCUAUCAACUUUCGAUGGUAGGAUAGUGGCCUACCAUGGUGGCAACGGGUAACGGGGAAUUAGGGUUCGAUUCCGGAGAGGGAGCCUGAGAAACGGCUACCACAUCCAAGGAAGGCAGNAGGCGCGCAAAUUACCCAAUCCCGAUACGGGGAGGUAGNGACAAUAAAUACUGAUACGGGGCUCUUUUGGGUCUCGUAAUUGGAAUGAGAACAAUUUAAAUCCCUUAACGAGG